Apis dorsata (giant honeybee) is the source of this 373-nucleotide long non-coding RNA. RefSeq lists it as uncharacterized. The transcript has 2 exons. Lineage: Eukaryota; Metazoa; Arthropoda; Insecta; Hymenoptera; Apidae. The record is from RefSeq and is a predicted model, not a curated record.
AUUAAACGAAGUUGAAAGAUCGAAAAGAUCUUCAUGCUCCAAUUUUUAUGAACAUCGUUGAGUGAUUAAGCUUUAAAUAUCGCUUCAUUGGCUGUUCAGGUCUGUUGGUUGAAGUCAAAGUGGUACGGUUUCCCUCGAGCAAUCGAAACAUCUUCUCGAAAUUACUUAGAAAACUUGGGAAGUAUCAAUUAAAAUAUUCACAAUUCAGAAUUUGUUCAUCCUUUAAAAUUUCCCUCUACUUUUUCAUUGGGAAAGAGUUCUAAUAUAUUGCAAUAUUAAGGUAAAAAAAAAAUUGAAAAACAUUAAUUUUUUUCUAAUUUCCCUUAUUUUAUACGGAGAUUGAAGCGUCGUAAAUCAUUCGAAUAUUAGUAAA